This 440-nucleotide ribosomal RNA is filed under the name uncultured bacterium. RNAcentral's name for it is "partial 16S ribosomal RNA". It matches the Rfam family "Bacterial small subunit ribosomal RNA", at positions 338 to 795 of the family's 1533-position model. The record is from RNAcentral.
CCUACGGGAGGCAGCAGUGGGGGAUAUUGCACAAUGGGGGGAACCCUGAUGCAGCGACGCCGCGUGGGUGAAGAAGCGCCUCGGCGCGUAAAGCCCUGUCAGCAGGGAAGAAAAUGACGGUACCUGAAGAAGAAGCCCCGGCUAACUACGUGCCAGCAGCCGCGGUAAUACGUAGGGGGCAAGCGUUAUCCGGAUUUACUGGGUGUAAAGGGGGCGCAGACGGCGAUGCAAGCCAGGAGUGAAAGCCCGGGGCCCAACCCCGGGACUGGGCGUGGAACUGCGUGGCGGGAGUGGAGGAGGGGCAGGAGGAAGUCCUGGUGUAGCGGUGAAAUGCGUAGAUAGCAGGAGGAAAACCGGUGGCGAAGGCGGACUGCGGGACUGCAACGGACGUUGAGGCCCGAAAGGGUGGGGAGCAAACAGGAUUAGAUACCCGAGUAGUC